ACAAUAUGGUGCCACUUCAUCGGAUGAUAGUAACGUGAUCACGCCGGACACCGGUUAUCAGACAACUCCAAUAUUCAUAUAAAUAGGUGUGCAGCACCUUAGAUCAAGCAUAACACGUUUUUUAUGCAAAUCUAUACUUUGUAUUUCCUUCUCAAGUUCUCUAAGAACCAACUCAAAAACCAAAAAUGGGCGCAGAAAAAGUAUCCAUGAACAUCGUUGUCGUCGGACAAGUGCAAUCCGCCAAAGCUAUCAAAACCGUCGCCAAGAACAGCCCAGCUGCCAACCAAAUCAUGAAUUGUUAGUGAAACAUAUCCAUGAAAUCAAACUUCAAAAUGCCAUAGACCACACAAUACAUUCUAUAUAUUAUAUCAUAAUAAUAAAAUGUAAUGCAAUAUCAUUAAAUAAACUAUAAAAUAUCCGUUUAAC
Molecule: long non-coding RNA, 426 nt
Organism: Adelges cooleyi (spruce gall adelgid)
Lineage: Eukaryota; Metazoa; Arthropoda; Insecta; Hemiptera; Adelgidae
Exons: 3
Source: RefSeq, a predicted model, not a curated record